This 67-nucleotide transfer RNA is filed under the name Eurysternus caribaeus. RNAcentral describes it as "tRNA-Leu". The record is from RNAcentral. Lineage: Eukaryota; Metazoa; Arthropoda; Insecta; Coleoptera; Scarabaeidae.
AUUACUUUGGCAGAUUAGUGCUUUAAAUUUAGAAUUUAAAUAUAUAUUAUGUUUAAUAUAGGUAAUA